GACGAACCGUGCUAACGUUAUUCGGAAUCACUGGGCUUAAAGGGCGCGUAGGCGGGCAGGCAAGUCGAAGGUGAAAUCCCACGGCUCAACCGUGGAAGUGCCCCCGAUACUGCCUGUCUGGAGGGAGAUAGGGGCGUGCGGAACUUCCGGUGGAGCGGUGAAAUGCGUAGAUAUCGGAAGGAACACCGGUGGCGAAAGCGGCGCGCUGGAUCUCUUCUGACGCUGAGGCGCGAAAGCCAGGGGAGCGAACGGG
Molecule: ribosomal RNA, 253 nt
Filed under: uncultured bacterium
Lineage: Bacteria
Description: partial 16S ribosomal RNA
Rfam family: Bacterial small subunit ribosomal RNA
Source: RNAcentral